AGAAGGGGGCAAAGCAGACACCCUGAGCUCCAAACUGCAGGCCGGGGAUGAGGUUGUGCACAUCAAUGAGGUGACUCUGAGCAGCUCCAGAAAGGAGGCAGUUUCCCUGGUGAAAGGAUCCUACAAGACCCUCAGGCUGGUAGUGCGCAGAGAUGUGUGCACAGACCCAGGCCAUGCAGAUACUAGUGCCUCUAACUUCGUCAGCCCAGAACACCUCACCUCUGGCCCCCAGCACAGGAAAGCAGCGUGGUCAGGAGGGGUUAAACUUCGGCUGAAGCACAGGCGCAGUGAGCCUGCAGGCCGACCUCACUCGUGGCACACAACUAAAUCUGGGGAGAAGCAACCCGAUGCCAGCAUGAUGCAGAUAUCUCAGGGUAUGAUCGGCCCUCCUUGGCACCAAAGCUACCAUUCCAGGAUGUGCUUUUGGGGCAAGACAGUGGCUUUGGUCUUGUGAAGGAUCCAUGUUAUUUGGCUGGUCCUGGAUCUAGGUCACUCAGUUGUUCAGAAAGAGGCCAAGAAGAGAUGCUGCUGCUCUUCCACCAUCUCACCCCUCGUUGGGGUGGUUCAGGCUGCAAAGCCAUUGGUGAUUCCUCUGUUCCUAGUGAAUGUCCUGGAACCCUGGACCAUCAGAGGCAAGCCAGUAGGACACCCUGCCCCAGGCCACCACUGGCAGGAACUCAAGGGCAGCUCACAGACACCAGGGCUGCACCCCUGACCCCAAUUGGCACCCCUCUGCCUUCAGCCAUUCCCUCUGGCUACUGCUC
RNAcentral lists this small RNA (764 nucleotides) under Pan troglodytes (chimpanzee). RNAcentral's name for it is "processed transcript". Lineage: Eukaryota; Metazoa; Chordata; Mammalia; Primates; Hominidae. The record is from RNAcentral.